CAGCCGCCGCGGUAAUACGUAGGGUGCGAGCGUUACUCGGAUUUACUGGGCGUAAAGCGUGCGCAGGCGGCCCGUUAAGACAGGUGUGAAAUCCCUGGGCUCAACCUAGGAAUUGCGCUUGUGACUGGCGGGCUCGAGUACGGUAGAGGGGGGUGGAAUUCCUGGUGUAGCAGUGAAAUGCGUAGAGAUCAGGAGGAACACCGAUGGCGAAGGCAGCCCCCUGGGCCUGUACUGACGCUCAUGCACGAAAGCGUGGGGAGCAAACAGGAUUAGAUACCCUGGUAGUCCACGCCCUAAACGAUGGGUACUAGCCGUUUGGUGCGCGAGAGCGCUGAGUGGCGAAGCUAACGCGAGAAGUACCCCGCCUGGGGAGUACGGCCGCAAGGUUGAAACUUAAAGGAAUUGGCGGG
This 410-nucleotide ribosomal RNA is filed under the name uncultured microorganism. RNAcentral's name for it is "bacterial SSU rRNA". It matches the Rfam family "Bacterial small subunit ribosomal RNA", at positions 509 to 917 of the family's 1533-position model. The record is from RNAcentral.